RNAcentral lists this ribosomal RNA (492 nucleotides) under uncultured bacterium. Its description in RNAcentral is "partial 16S ribosomal RNA". It matches the Rfam family "Bacterial small subunit ribosomal RNA", at positions 29 to 507 of the family's 1533-position model. The record is from RNAcentral.
AGUGAACGCUGGCGGUAGGCCUAACACAUGCCAGUCGAACGGCAGCACAGUAAGAGCUCGCUCUUACGGGUGGCGAGUGGCGGACGGGUGAGGAAUACAUCGGAAUCUACUUUUUCGUGGGGGAUAACGUAGGGAAACUUACGCUAAUACCGCAUACGACCUACGGGUGAAAGCAGGGGAUCUUCGGACCUUGCGCGAUUGCAUGAGCCGAUGUCGGAUUAGCUAGUUGGCGGGGUAAAGGCCCACCAAGGCGACGAUCCGUAGCUGGUCUGAGAGGAUGAUCAGCCACACUGGAACUGAGACACGGUCCAGACUCCUACGGGAGGCAGCAGUGGGUAAUAUUGGACAAUGGGCGCAAGCCUGAUCCAGCCAUACCGCGUGGGUGAAGAAGGCCUUCGGGUUGUAAAGCCCUUUUGUUGGGAAAGAAAAGCAGCAGGUUAAUACCCCGCUGUUCUGACGGUACCCAAAGAAUAAGCACCGGCUAACUUCGUG